CACAAAGCGUACAGUACAGAAGAUCACAGGAUUCCUGCGAUUUUUCGUGUUUUGUAUCGCCGAUCGUCCGAAUUGGGAAUCGUCUUUGGCUCUGUGGAGAGCGAUUAUCUCGACGAACUGAUAUCUGCGAUUACUGCGACUAUACAGCGUUGAAAUUCGACGCAUUUUCAUCGUACAGGUGGAAGGAUGAGUACGCCUGGCGAAGGUGGUGGCGGUGGCCAGAACGAGGUAAACCCCGCCCUCCAAGCUGAUCAACCCAGUAUUCUUACGGAUGGUAAUGCCAGUUUCCUGCGAGCUGCACGAGCUGGUAAUUUGGAUAAAGUCUUGGAAUAUUUGAAGGGGAGUACUGAUAUUAACACCAGCAAUGCUAAUGGAUUGAAUGCUCUUCACCUUAGCUCUAAAGAAGGCCACCUUAAUAUUGUAAGAGAAUUGCUGAAGAGAGGUGCCAAUGUGGACGCAGCUACUAAGAAGGGAAACACAGCACUCCAUAUUGCAUCUUUGGCAGGACAGAAAGACAUUGUAAAAGUACUAGUAGAACAUGAAGCUAAUGUUAACGUACAAUCACAGACUGGUUUUACACCACUCUACAUGGCAGCACAAGAAAACCAUGAAUCCGUGGUUCGAUUUUUGCUAGUGAAUGGAGCAAAUCAAAGCCUUGCCACCGAGGAUGGGUUUACUCCAUUGGCGGUUGCUUUGCAACAAGGACACGACAAAGUGGUGGCACUAUUAUUAGAAAACGACCGUGCCGGCAAAGUAAGACUUCCGGCUUUGCACAUAGCGGCAAGAAAAGAUGACACUAAGGCGGCUGCCUUAUUACUUCAAAAUGACCACAAUCCUGAUGUCACUUCUAAGAGUGGCUUCACACCAUUGCAUAUUGCAGCACACUAUGGACAUACCAAUGUAGCUACGCUGCUAUUACAAAGAGGAGCUGCUGUUGAUUUUUCAGCUCGGAAUGGAAUUACCCCAUUGCACGUUUCUUGUAAGUGGGGUCGUGUCAAUAUGGUAACAUUAUUACUGGAUAGAGGAGCCAAAAUCGACAGCAGAACAAGGAAUCCAUUGGAACUGGUGACAAAAGAUGGACUGACACCUCUUCACUGCGCUGCAAGGAGUGGUCAUGACCAGUGUGUUGAUUUGCUACUGGAGAGAGGAGCACCUAUUUUGGCCAAAACUAAGAAUGGUCUUGCACCUUUACACAUGGCAGCACAAGGAGACCAUGUAGAUAGUGCACGUUUAUUACUCUAUCACAAAGCACCUGUUGAUGAUGUCACCGUGGAUUACCUGACUUCAUUGCAUGUAGCUGCUCACUGUGGUCAUCAUAAAGUAGCUAAAUUGCUGUUGGAUCGUAAGGCUAACCCUGAUUCCCGUGCUCUCAAUGGUUUCACCCCACUUCAUGUUGCCUGCAAAAAGAAUCGCAUCAAAGUCAUAGAACUAUUAUUAAAGUAUGGUGCAUCAAUCCACACUGUUACCGAGUCUGGUUUAACACCAUUACACGUAGCUGCAUUUAUGGGUCAUGUACAGAUUGUAUUAUUGCUGUUACAACAUGGAGCAUCACCUGACACAGCUAAUGUGCGUGGUGAAACAGCCUUACAUCUUGCCGCAAGAGCCAAUCAAAUUGAUAUCAUUCGUAUCUUAUUACGCAAUGGUGCCCAGGUAGAUGCAAGAGCACGCGAGAACCAGACUCCACUGCAUAUUGCUUCCCGUCUGGGUAACGUGGAAAUUGUCUUAUUACUGUUGCAACACGGCGCAUCACCUGAUGCACAAACAAAGGAUAUGUACACAGCCCUGCAUAUUGCGGCCAAAGAAGGACAAGAAGAUGUAGCAUCUGUCCUACUAGAACACGGUGCAUCGCUAUCCACAACUACCAAGAAGGGGUUCACUCCUCUGCAUGUGGCGGCGAAGUAUGGAAGUCUAGAAGUCGCAGCUUUGCUCCUCAAGAAAGUUUGCCUCUCCUGAUGCAGCUGGAAGGAAUGGUUUGACACCAUUGCACGUUGCUGCCCAUUAUGACAAUGUCAAUGUUGCUAUGCUGUUAUUAAAACAAGGUGCUUCACCACACGCUGCAGCCAAGAAUGGAUUUACUCCACUACACAUCGCUGCCAAGAAGAACCAGAUGGAGAUUGCCACCACAUUACUGGAAUUUGGAGCCGAAGCAAAUGCAACGACUAAACAUGGAAUUAGUCCAGUCCACUUAGCGGCCCAGGAAGGACACACAGACAUGCUAACAUUGUUACUGGCCCGUGGUGCUAAGCCAGACAUUCCUGCUAAGAAUGGUUUAACUCCAUUGCAUCUUGCGGCUCAAGAAGAUAGAGUUAACUGUGCAGCCAUAUUGUUGAAAACGAUGCUGUCAUCGAUGCACAGACUAAAGCUGGAUAUACUCCUUUACAUGUUGCUUGUCACUAUGGCAACAUUAAGGUGGCAACCUAUUUAUUGCAGCAAGAAGCAAAGGUUAAUGAAAAGACUAAGGCUGGCCUGACUCCACUCCAUCAAGCUGCCCAGCAAGGUCAUGUUGCCCUGAUUAAUCUGUUACUACAGUACGGUGCUGACCCCAAUGAAGUCGCCAAUAACGGAUACACAGCAUUGGCCAUGGCUAAGCGUCUUGGCUACAUCUCUGUUGUAAAUACUCUGAUAACCGUGACAACAGUUACUACGGUAACUACACAGACUGAUAAAGAAGAAAAACUCAAAGUCUUGGUUCCAGAAACCAUGCAAGAAACAUUCAUAUCAGACUCUGAAGAUGAAGGUGAAGAUACUAUGACUGGUGACAUGCCUACCUUAACAGUGGACGAAAUGAAAAACAUGGCUGAUGACUCCAUGCCUGUUUUACAGUCAAUGACCAUAGAGGAAGUAUGGAUGAAAAGUGAUCAGAGUCGUCUUACCAACUAUGCUUACCCACCGUAUGCAGGAGGUGAAUCACCAAGUUCUUCAGCAAGAGGUUCCAUGCCAGGUUAUUACAGAUCUGCUGCAUACACCUCGUACUCCUCCAAGACUGGAAGUGUAGAACCAGAAGUUUUGAAAGCUGAUAGGGCUGUGCAGCAGUCGGCUGCACCUGGCAUGGCUGAGACUGAUAUGGUAACAAAGACGACUGAAGUUACCAUCAUAACGACCUGGAGGACCGUCAUCCGUAAUAAAGAUGGUGAAAUAAUGAGGAAACCUGAUGGGAAUGUCGCACAUGUUGGUGAUCCGUUCCAGGAUGAAGAUGGGAAAGAAGUUGCCGGUAAGGUGUAUGGACCAGAUGGUAAACCAAUGGAAUACACCAUAUAUCUGCAAAUGAUUAAAGUUCAUCGCAUUAUGAUCCGAGAUAAUGAUGGCCAUCCAAAGAAGACUCCAGAUGGGCGACCGAUGUAUGCUGGUGAUCCAGUUGUUGAUGAAGAAGGACGUGUAAUUGAAGGGAUGGUUUAUGGUCUUGAAGGCGAGUCUGUCACAUAUGAAGAUUACUUAUCCACAGCUGCUGAAACUAGGGAACCAGUACUUGGAGAUGAUGGUGAGGAAUUGAAAACCGCUGAUGGUCGUCCAAUUCGACCUGGAGAUCCAGUUAUUGAUGAGGACGGUAAAGUGGUCAAGGAUUUGGUCUAUGGUCUGGAUGGCAAACCAGUACAGUACACUAUGUUUUAUACAACAGUCAUCGUCACACGUCAGAUCAUAAGAGGUCCUGAUGGUCUGCCAAUGUAUACAGCCGAUGGAAGACCGAUUGUUGCUGGUGAUCCGGUUGUUGACGAAGAUGGUGUGGUACGACAAGAUAUGGUCUAUAACUUAGAAGGUAAACCUGUACCUGUAUACGAAUACUAUAUAACUACAAUUACAAGGUCGGUAAUCAAAGGUCCCGAUGGAGAACCACUGAAAACCGCUGAUGGUCGUAACGUACAUCCAGGUGAUCCUGUCGUUGAUGAAGACGGCAAGCUGGUGAAAGGUAUGGUGUACAAUCGUGACGGCAAACCAGUCAAAUAUACUGAAUACUUUAUUACUAUUACUGUUACAAGAAAAAUAAUUCUCGGACCCGAUGGUAAGCCGCUGAAAACCGCAGACGGAAGACCAAUGUAUCCUGGUGAUCCAGUUGUUGAAAAAGAUGGUACUGUUGUACAAGGAAUGGUGUAUGGGGAGGACGGAAAGCCACUUCCUUAUGAAGAGUUCUACUCCACUAAUGCCAAUGCAAUAUUAAGAACCCCUGUGAUUGGCCAAGACGGGGAGCCAAUGAUCACUAAAGAUGGUAGAGUUAUGUACGCUGGUGAUCCAGUCGUGGAUGAUAACGGUAAAGUUUUGCAUGGACUUGUGUAUGGCUAUGACGGUAGACCAGUUCCUUAUAGCGAGUUCUACACGCACUCUACUCGAACUACAACAACUACAACGACUACCACAAGUACAGUAACAAGAGUAUCCGUGAAAGAUAAAGACGGUUAUCCGAUGAAAACUCCAAAAGGUCAAUUUAUUUAUGCCGGUGACCCCUACAUGGAUGAAGAUGGGACUUAUAUUCCUGGGAUGGUCUACGGCCACUACGGCCAACCGGUGACGUACAGCACCUUUUACUCUGAAACCACAACCACCAAAAUCUCUGUCGAACCUGUAAUCGGGCCCGAUGGAAAACCAAUGAGACGACCUGAUGGUAAAAUCAUCUAUGUCGGUGAUGCUGUUGUUAAUGAAAAGGGUCAGGUAAUACCAGGAAUGAUUUACGGACCAGACGGUAAACCAGUUCCGUUUGUACAAGAUAAUGUUGCACCCAUAUCCAUUCCAGUACAUGCUGGAUUCCUUAUCAGUUUUAUGGUAGAUGCUCGUGGUGGAGCCAUGCGUGGUUGCCGUCUUCCUGGGCUUCGUAUUAUCGUUCCACCAGGGAAGGCGACCGGGCCAACUCGCAUCACCUGCCGCAUGAUAAAGAGAAUGAAACUAGUUAACCCACCCCCAUUGAUGGAAGGUGAAGCCCUCGCCAGUCGUGUACUGGAAGUUGGACCUUCUGGUGCUCAAUUCCUCGGUCCUGUGAUUAUCGAGAUACCACAUUUUGGUUCGCUGCGUGAAAAAGAGAGAGAAAUUGUUGUAUUACGUAGUGACAACGGCGAAUCAUGGAAAGAACACACAUUGGAAUCUUCAGAUGAGUUAGUACAUGAAACGCUUAAUGGUACACUUGACGGAGAAGAAAUUGAAUCAUUGGAAGAUUUAGUUGAAAAACGAAUUUGUAGAAUAGUUACCCGAGAUUUCCCACAAUACUUUGCUAUUAUCUCACGAGUACGUCAAGAAACGAAUACAAUUGGACCAUCAGGGGGAAUGUUAAGUUCAACAGUUGUUCCACAAGUACAAGCAGUGUUCCCUGAAGGUACUCUAACUAAGAAAAUCAAAGUUGGUCUCCAGGCCCAACCAAUUCCAGUAGACAUCAUCAAGAAAGUCCUUGGUAACCGUGUAAUGGUGAGUCCCAUAGUGACAAUAGAACCCAGGAGAAGGAAAUUCCAUAAAGCUAUUACAGUAACAAUUCCUGUUCCAUCAGCAACGACGCAAGGUGUUAUGAAUGGUUAUGGUGGUGAUACGCCAACUCUUAGACUUUUGUGCAGUAUUACAGGUGGCACUCAACCCGCACAAUGGGAAGACAUUACUGGCACAACACCUCUUACUUUUGUCAAUGAGUGUGUGUCAUUUACCACCACAGUAUCUGCAAGGUUUUGGCUCAUGGAUUGUCGAGAGAUAAAUCAAGCCAGUAACUUUGCUAGAGAGCUAUAUCAUGAAGUGACAGCGGUGCCGUUCAUGGCAAAAUUUGUCGUGUUCGGAAAGACACAUGACCCGAUUGAAGCCCGAAUUCGAGUGUUCUGUAUGACUGAUGAUAAGAUGGAUAAAACAUUAGAAAGUCAAGAACAUUUCACUGAAAUAGCUCGUAGUAGGGAUGUGGAGGUUUUAGAUGGCCGACCACAAUACCUAGAACUUGCUGGUAAUUUAGUGCCAGUACAAAAAUCUGGAGAACAGCUUCAUCUCAAUUUCCACGCCUUCCAUGAAAACCGCCUGCCAUUCUUCACCCGUGUGCGCGACCAGGGACAGGAGCCUUGUGGUAGACUAUCGUUUAUGCGGGAGCCAAAAGUUGGCCGUGGAUUACCUCCGCAGAAAGCCAUCUGCAAUUUGAAUAUAACUAUUCCUGAGUAUGUUAAGGUCAAAAAAGAAGAUGACACAACAAGUAGUGAGGAUGAGGAGACUAUGGAAAAGGGAGAGCGGGAAAUUUUUGAACAGGAAACCAGAAAACCUUUAACGCCGUCUGAAAUGUACAUUCUUACUCCUGUUGAGGAGGACUUUAAUCUUGAGAAGGAAUUUGAAAAAUUUGCUGACGAGGAAAAGAAUCAAGAAAUAAGGAAAAUGGGACUGAGGGUUGUAGAUAAGGGAGAUUCAACUCAUAAACUCAACUUUGCUUCCAUUAGACUUCGACAAAAAUACACUUUCCUCCAAGACCCUGCUCUAAGUCCAACUAGUGCACAUGAACGAGCUGAAAUCCGUUUAUGGCAUCUUGCAGCAAAACUUGGCAAAGACUGGCCAAAAUUAGGUCGCGAACUUGGCCUAAAUAACAGGGAGAUUGAAAUCAUAAAAAGUGAAAAUGAGGAAAAUGUGGUAGAGCAAGCAUUCGUUGCUUUACAUGUCUGGGCAGAAAGAGCAGGGAAAGAAGCAUCAGGUGAAAGACUUGAAGAUGCACUUGAAAAAUCUGGUAAACACCAACUUGCAAGAGAAAUCCUUCAUACAUCGUACACCAUUGAUAUGGAAGAUGAACAUUCCAUCGACUAUUAUAGAGACUUAGAAAAAUCAAUGGCAAAAUCACGAAUGGAUGAAUCAGCUUUUGAUGAUAUAAUGGAAUUAAAAUCACCAGCUAAGCCACCAAGGGCAAGUCAAGACCAUGAAGACUUACUGGAAGGGGAGCCAACCAUGAAUUUGAUGGAACAUCUGGAUACAAGUGAAAUUGAAGACCAAUCGGAUAUCAUGGAACGCGUCUCAAUUGCCAAAGAGGAACAUGUUGAUCUGAAAGAAGAACGUGUUGAAGAAAGCCAUGUAGAGAUUCAUAAAGAAGUCAUGACAAAAGAAGUAAUUCAGGUUGUUGAAACAGAAAUAAUAACACAAGAAGAAAUAAUAGAAAGCCAACAAAAGGAGGAAACUUUUCCUAUUGAAGAUGAACCAGAGGAAUCCCCUGAAUCACCGGAGGCUGGUGAAGCAGCACCUAUUGAGGAACCUGAACCUGAGCCGGAAGAGGAAGAGCAACAACUGACUGAAUCCUGGGAAGUUGUUGAAGAUGCUGAGGAACCACGUGAUGAAGCCCUUGGUGCAAUGGCUGCUCCUGACGAGGAUGAAGAACAAGAGGAAGAAGAUGAGGAGGAAUGGGAAAUAGUUGAUGCUGAAGCUGCCGAGGAGUUUAAUGAAGAAAUUAUGGAAAAGAUGGAAGAGGAGACACCAGAAAAGGAAAAAGUUGUUAGUUUUGAAAGUCAGUAUCUUCAUGAAAAAACACAGCAUCAGGAAAUUGUUAUAACUGAAACUUUCCAUCAGGAUUACAAAGAUGAGAAAGACAUAUCAGAGCCUGACAUUACAGUGUCUGAGGAGGCAACCCCAGAAAAAGAAGAGGCGUCAGAAGAUUUCCUGGGACCUUCUGAGGUUCCUGUUGAGAUAGCAGUGAGCAAAGAAAGUCCAACUACACCAGAGGCGUAUUCUCAGGGCAUAGCAGAGAUAGCAAUUGGUCCAGUCCCCACUUCCAGGGAGCCUGAUGAAUAUUGUCCCGAGGGUCUGUUGGAUGAAUUGGUAAAGGAGUUGGACAUUGAUAUGUCAGUUAAGCAGGAUCAACCAUUUGAAUCAGAGGAACCGGUGAUAGAGUCAGAUGCACUGGUGAUAGAGUCAGUGCCUCAAGAAGCAUCACCAGAACCUGUAGAGGACAAGAUAGAUGUACCAGUUGAUGAAGAGCUGCUAAUUGAACAGGAGCAACCAUUAGCUGCAGAGGCUCCGGUGACAGAGUCAGAGGCUCCGGUGACAGAGUCAGAGGCUCCGGUGACAGAGUCAGAGGCUCCGGUGACAGAGUCAGAGGCUCCGGUGACAGAGUCAGAGGCUCCGGUGACAGAGUCAGAGGCUCCGGUGACAGAGUCAGAGGCCAAAGAAGUAUCACCAGAACCUGUAGAGGACAAGAUAGAUGAUGUACCAGUUGAUGAAGAGCUGCAAAUUGAGCAGGAACAGCCAUUAGUUGCAGAAGAACCGGUGAUAGAGUCAGAGGCUCCAGUUAUAGAGUCAGAGGCUCCAGUUAUAGAGUCAGAGGCUCCAGUUAUAGAGUCAGAGGCUCCAGUUAUAGAGUCAGAGCCUAGAGAAGUAUCACCAGAACCUGUAGAGGAACCAAGAGAAGAAUCAGAAGAGGAGGUGGUUGAGGAACAACAGGAAGAAGAACAGGUACAAUCGCAUGUCACUGAAGUUACAUCUGAGACUGAGGAAAAAGAUUUUGUCAAGACUUCAGAGUCAUUUGAAGAUGAUAAUGAUGCUACCCCAAAAGAUGCAACGCCUGAAAAUGUGGAUACUUUGGCAGAAGUGAUGAAUGAGAUGAUUUUCGAUGAACCAGAAAACACUCCAGUUGAACAUGAAGAACCAGGGGAGAUAGUGGAGGAGAAAUUUGACCAAGAUUUAAUUGAGUACCAACAAGAACAACCUAUCUUUGUAGAUGGAGAUGCUGACAAAGCUGAUGAAGUAUCAGAUCAUGAAGAUGUAUCUGCUGCUGAACUUGAUGAUCUACUACAGAGAGAUUUCACAGCUGAAGCAGGUCUUCCGGAAACGGAAACAUCUGAAUACACAGAAGAUUCUAUUACGACAAAAUCUACCACAGUGAAAAGCAGUUCAUGGGGGAACCCCCCAAAAGGACUUGAUCCCUUUGAUCCAUUUGAGGAACAUUUCACAGAGGAACAUGUUGAUAUCUGCGAUGAGCCAGACAGACGAACCACGACCAAGGUUAUUAAGAAGACAGUGGUGAAGACAUCGAUGGGAGAAGUUCCCGAUGACUUUGAAAUUGGUGACGGAGAUGAAGUUGAAGAACGUGUAAAUGAGGAUGGGUCUGUGACGCGGGUCAUCCGGAGGGUCAGGCAAAUAAGUGGUAGUUCUGGUGAUCCAGAAUUUAGUCAAUUGAUGUCAACUAACGAUGGUGCUGAUGGUUUGAUAGGUGAAACUGAUAGUAAAAGAGUUGUAGUACAUAAGAAAGUAACGAAGAAAAUAGUCAUUAGAGAUGGUGAAGAAGUAGAAGUUGAAGAAUCCACAGAUACCAAGAUUGAGGAAGAUGGACAAGAGGUUCAAGACCCAAGUGAACUCAGAGAAGACUUACAACAAAUGAUAGAUAGCUUUUUAACAGAAGAACAAAUGCAGGAACAAGAAAAAGAAUAAAAUAAAAUUCAGAUCCAGAUAAUAAACAUAUUCAUGUUUCUGGAUAUUAAAAAAAAAAAAGUUUAUUUCUGGGUCACCUAAUUGAGAAAGAAAUCUAGUGUGUAUCACUGUCAUGUCUUAAACGAACAAGACCAUUUGACAUGACAAUUCUGAAAAAAAAUCAAAAAUUUCUGUUUAGUAAAUUUGGAUCGUAUAAUUCUUGAUAGUAAAGUUUUAAAAUGCAGUACCUUGUUUUUUGAAUAAUGUAUUCCUAUGACUGUCAAUUUCUGGUGUUUUUUCAGAAGUUUACCACUGGAAGAUUUUACCCCCUUUUCAAACUCAAUAUGAAAUGUUUUAAGUAGUGACAAAAAAUACAAGUAGAUUUGUUAGUCCUGGUAGUUUUACCGUUGUUUUCUUCAAUGUAGACAAGUCCUGAUAGUUUUACUUGACAUUGCAUUAUCUGCUGGUAAUCAGCAAAUGUGCAUCUGCUUGACAACAAUGGGGUUUUAAACAUGUUGCGUAGUUUCAUUUCAUGCUAGUAUAUGCUAAUGAGGUCUUUAUGUAGUAUAUGCUAAUGAGGUCUUUAUGCAGUAUAUGCUAAUGAGGUCUUUAUGCAGUAUAUGCUAAUGAGGGCUUUAUAUAUUCAAGAGGAUGUUGCAACAAUCAAGAAUUUUAAUUACUGCCCAAUUAGUAUACUCUAAAACUGGCAAAUUAGGUUAACACUGCCUUUUUAUGUUUUUAGUCACCUGCAUAAUUAGAGAAAAUGAAUCCCUUUCAUUCCUCAGCUUGAUUAACUCCCAUCCUAUCAAGAUCUGUAAAUUGUUCAAUGUCAGAUCCUUUAUUUUUUUCCAAUUGUUAGGUUGGGUCUUAUACUGCUGUCAUGUUUUUAUUUUUAUCUAUUAUGGAGGCUGACUGUUACAGCAAAUUUUAAUGGGCUUGCCAGUGUUUUUAACCCUGAGAUAAUGCAAAUAUGGAAGAUCAAAAUUUUUUAGAUCUGCCAGAAAUUUUCGUUUUUGUACGAGUAUUUGAAACGUCUUUAAUUUGAUAAGAAAGAUUUUAUUUCUCUCAACAAUUUUUGAUUAAUAAUGUUUCCAACUUCCAAAGUCAGCGAGAUGAAACUAUCAACCUCCUUUAAAUGAAAUGUCUAUCAGAUAUCAAACUGAGGUGACUAUUUCUUUAAAGGUCAAUUGAUCCCUCUUUUAAAUGUUAAGCUUGAUAAAGUAAAUUAAACCAUGUAUUAACAGCCUAAAUAUUCUUGUGAUUAAGUCUGGCAACUGGGUGUAAAAUUUUCAUAUCUCUUCCUGCAAAAUGAAAUCAUUGUUUAAGCUGUCUAAUAAUACCUUUCUUGUACCAUUUUGUCACGAUAACUAAUAUUCAUAAGUUGGGUGAUUGAAUUAAAAAAGUCAAUUUGAUUCUAAAUAUUCUUUAUUAUAAAGUAGCACGAAAUUUCUGAACAGCAGUUGUAGAAAAUGUAUGUCUGAUGUAAUUUUGAUUGACAAGUAAUUGUAGUGUUGAUAGCAAAACUAGUUUUAAACAAUUGCACUUGUGUACCAAGAUUUUACUCAGAAUCAUAGCACUUGAUGUAAUUAUAGAUAUAUCGAUAAUCUUUUUGAAACACUGAUAACUGGGUCUGUUUGUGUAAUAAUAAAUACUUUUGUUUUGUUCUUUAUUUUGGAAUAUUGAGAAUAUUGAAAAUUUGUUCAUUGGCCUAACAUGUGGGAAGAAAUUCCAUAAGUAUGUAUAUCAGCUACCUGUUAUUAGUAUUAGGGCGGUGUAUAUUAUUCCAAACUGUAGAUGAACAACAUGAUAAUUGCCAAGAUGACAGGACAAUAUCGUAAUCCAUCCCACCACACUUUAAUGUGUUGUGCUAAGCCAAGUUUUAUUAUCUAUCAACAGUCCUGACAUCUCGGCGGUUGUUUGUUUGGCUUUGACAUCUGUUGAUGUAGCUGUGAUGCUGUUCUAGGUCAAUGUUAGUUCUCUAGUGAUAUUCCUUAUGUAUCUGUAGGUUUUUAUGUUUUUUGAUGUAAUUUCAUGAUAAAGUUACAGCUUGGAAAAGGUUCAUUAAAAGCUUUGUGCUCCAUAUAUCACAAUUAAA
Non-coding RNA from Saccoglossus kowalevskii, 11416 nucleotides. NCBI's taxonomy places the organism in Eukaryota, Metazoa, Hemichordata, Enteropneusta, Harrimaniidae. The record is from RefSeq and is a predicted model, not a curated record.